CUCUCUCCCUCGCUGGUCGUUUGCUUCUUCCCCAUGAAAGAAACCAGAUCCAAUGCCAUGAACCAGAUCCUGUAGAGCUGCCAUGGCAAAGCAGCCAAGGUGAGGAGAUCUUGGUUAGAAAAACAGGAAGAAGAGAAGAGAAGCUUACCAAGCAACGUCAAGCCCAUGUGGAGGUGCGGUAUGCGAUGUCGAUGCAGUGUAGAGAAAGAACAGAGCAGGACUCCUGACUGUAGCUUCACGGUUCGCUUGUUGUUGCCUUGGCCAUGUGAAUCCCAUUUUUUUUGCACUAAGAUAGGGGUUCUGGAAAACCCAGUAGUUCUUCUAUUUCUGCUAGCUAAACUUGCUCCAUUCUCCUGACAGUAGGAAAUCUAUUUUGGGCUGGUCUCGCUGUUCAAAAAUUCAGAAACUGCUUGAACAAAGAUGUAGUUAAUGUGUUUGGGC
Molecule: long non-coding RNA, 441 nt
Organism: Triticum aestivum (bread wheat)
Lineage: Eukaryota; Viridiplantae; Streptophyta; Magnoliopsida; Poales; Poaceae
Exons: 2
Source: RefSeq, a predicted model, not a curated record